Molecule: ribosomal RNA, 253 nt
Filed under: uncultured bacterium
Lineage: Bacteria
Description: partial 16S ribosomal RNA
Rfam family: Bacterial small subunit ribosomal RNA
Source: RNAcentral
UACGGGGGGGGCAAGCGUUGUUCGGAAUUACUGGGCGUAAAGGGCGCGUAGGCGGUUCGCUAAGUCGGAUGUGAAAACUCUGGGCUCAACCCAGAGCCUGCAUCCGAAACUGGCGGGCUAGAGUUCUGGAGGGGGUAGCGGAAUUCCUGGUGUAGCGGUGAAAUGCGUAGAUAUCAGGAGGAACACCGGUGGCGAAGGCGGAUCUCUGGGCCUUACCUGACGCUCAGGCACGAAAGCUAGGGGAGCGAACAGG